Molecule: non-coding RNA, 243 nt
Organism: Pseudonaja textilis
Lineage: Eukaryota; Metazoa; Chordata; Lepidosauria; Squamata; Elapidae
Source: RefSeq, a predicted model, not a curated record
CACAAUUAUAGAUGUAUGUAUGUAUGUAUAUAUAUAUAUUUAUACAAUCCUAAAAUAUUUCCCAGCAAGUUUUAAACUUAAAGUUUCCCCAAUCUAAAAUACCAAUAUACAUUCCCAUGUGGUAUCCCCCUUACAUUAUCCCUGACCCUUAUCUCUAAACCUCUCGGCCUUAUCAUUUUUUUUAAAUUUUAGCCAGCUUUCCCUUUUCUAGGUUUCCCAGGUACAGCCGCCUGAGCUUUGUCA